This is an RNA transcript of Passer montanus (Eurasian tree sparrow), 4160 nucleotides long. It is a transcript of the gene named Mtr4 exosome RNA helicase, with no coding region annotated. The transcript has 28 exons. Lineage: Eukaryota; Metazoa; Chordata; Aves; Passeriformes; Passeridae. The record is from RefSeq and is a predicted model, not a curated record.
UGCGUCGGCUUUUCGCAGACCGCCUUCGAGCGGGGAAGCGCCGCGCCUGCGCCACGGGGGAGGCUGCGGAGGGGAGCGGCAUCGGGACCGAGAGCCGGACUCAGAGAGAAAUCGAGAUCGGCAUCGAGAACGGGCCGCUACCGGUGUCAAGGGCGGCGGGAGACCCCGUCGCCCCUCGGGGGGCGGGAUCGGAAGCGCUCCUCUCGCGCUAAGUGCGCGGCCCUGCGCGGGGCAUUGUGGGAGCGCGGCGGCUAAGAUGGCGGAGGCGUUUGGGGAUGAGCUCUUCAGCGUGUUCGAGGAGGACGCGGCCGCCGCUGCUUCUGGCGCCAAGAAGAGUAAAACGGGCGCCGCCGAGGGUGCCAGGAGGCCGGGAAAACGAUUGGAAGAAAAACCUUCAGUACCAGCAGCAAUAGUCAAGCCAAAAAGGGAAGCUGAGAUUGAUAGUACUGAAAAUGUCAUUUUGGGAAAAAAACCAAAAUUGGAAGAUGCUUUAUCAGAAGAUGUUAAUCUGACAGAUCUGAUGCCUCAAGUAAAGGUGCAGUCUGUGGAAACUGUUGAAGGCUGUACACAUGAGGUUGCGCUUCCAGCAAAUGAGGAAUUCACAGGUCUGAAGCCAAGAACUGGAAAAGCUGCAAAAGAAUAUCCAUUUAUUCUUGAUGCCUUCCAGAGAGAAGCUAUUCUUUGUGUAGAUAAUAACCAGUCUGUGCUGGUGUCAGCUCACACAUCAGCUGGUAAAACUGUUUGUGCUGAGUACGCAAUUGCCCUAGCUUUGAGGGAAAAGCAGCGUGUGAUAUUUACAAGUCCAAUUAAAGCUUUGAGUAAUCAGAAGUACCGUGAGAUGUAUGAAGAAUUCCAGGAUGUUGGUUUGAUGACUGGGGAUGUUACCAUUAAUCCUACGGCUUCUUGUUUGGUAAUGACAACUGAGAUCUUGAGAAGUAUGCUUUACAGAGGUUCUGAGGUUAUGCGUGAAGUCGCAUGGGUUAUUUUUGAUGAAAUUCACUACAUGAGAGAUACAGAACGUGGUGUGGUUUGGGAAGAGACUAUUAUUUUGCUUCCUGAUAAUGUACAUUAUGUGUUCCUUUCUGCAACUAUUCCAAAUGCCCGUCAGUUUGCUGAAUGGAUCUGCCAUCUUCACAAACAGCCUUGCCAUGUGAUUUACACUGACUAUCGACCUACUCCACUGCAGCAUUAUAUAUUUCCAGCAGGAGGAGAUGGACUGCAUUUGGUUGUUGAUGAAAAUGGAGAUUUCAGAGAAGAUAAUUUUAAUACAGCAAUGCAAGUGCUUAGAGAUGCCGGAGACUUAGCAAAAGGGGAUCAGAAAGGCAGGAAAGGAGGAACAAAAGGUCCUUCAAAUGUUUUUAAGAUUGUGAAGAUGAUCAUGGAAAGGAAUUUCCAACCUGUGAUUAUUUUUAGCUUCAGUAAGAAAGACUGUGAAGCCUAUGCACUUCAGAUGACAAAGUUAGAUUUCAAUACAGAUGAAGAAAAAAAAAUGGUUGAAGAAGUCUUCAAUAAUGCAAUUGAUUGUCUCUCAGAUGAAGACAAAAAGCUUCCUCAGGUUGAACAUGUGCUUCCCCUUCUGAAGCGAGGAAUUGGUAUUCAUCAUGGUGGUUUGCUUCCUAUCUUAAAAGAAACCAUAGAAAUUCUUUUCUCAGAGGGCCUAAUAAAGGCCUUAUUUGCAACAGAGACCUUUGCUAUGGGAAUUAAUAUGCCAGCCAGAACUGUGCUGUUUACAAGUGCCAGUAAAUUUGAUGGAAAAGAUUUCCGAUGGAUAUCCUCAGGUGAAUACAUUCAAAUGUCAGGUCGUGCAGGACGCCGAGGUAUGGAUGACAGAGGAAUAGUAAUUCUUAUGGUUGAUGAAAAAAUGAGUCCAACCAUUGGCAAGCAGCUUUUGAAGGGUUCAGCUGAUCCCUUAAACAGUGCUUUCCACCUGACAUACAACAUGGUAUUGAACUUACUUCGAGUGGAGGAAAUCAACCCUGAAUACAUGUUAGAAAAAUCAUUUUAUCAGUUCCAACAUUACAGAACUAUUCCAGAAAUAGUGGAAAGAGUCAAUAAUUUGGAAGCACAGUACAACAAAAUUGUAAUUCCUAAUGAAGAAAAUGUGGUGAUAUACUACAGAAUCCGCCAGCAGCUUGCAAAACUGGGUAAAGAUAUUGAAGAGUAUAUUCACAAACCAAAGUACUGCUUGCCCUUUCUACAGCCAGGAAGACUGGUAAAGGUGAAGAAUGAAGGUGAUGACUACGGAUGGGGAGUGGUUGUUAAUUUCUCUAAGAAAUCAAAUGUUAAGCCAAAUUCUGGUGAAUUGGACCCAUUGUAUGUAGUUGAAGUGCUCCUGCGCUGCAGCAAAGACAGUUUGAAAAAUUCUGCUACCGAGUCUGCAAAGCCAGCCAGACCUGAUGAGAGAGGAGAGAUGCAGGUUGUUCCCGUUUUGGUGCAUCUUGUCUCAGCUAUCAGCAGUGUCCGACUCUACAUACCAAAAGACUUGAGGCCUAUUGAUAACAGGCAAAGUGUGUUAAAAUCUGUACAGGAGGUACAGAAACGUUUUCCUGAUGGAGUGCCCUUACUAGACCCUAUUGAUGACAUGGGCAUCAAAGACCAAGGGUUGAAAAAAGUAAUCCAAAAAAUAGAGGCGUUUGAGCAUAGGAUGUAUUCGCAUCCUCUUCACAACGAUCCAAACUUGGAAACCAUAUACAAACUCUGUGAAAAAAAAGCACAGAUUGCUAUGGAUAUUAAAGUGGCAAAGCGAGAAUUGAAGAAAGCCAGGACUGUCCUGCAAAUGGAUGAACUCAAAUGCCGCAAGCGUGUUUUGAGAAGGCUGGGGUUUGCCACGUCUUCAGAUGUUAUUGAGAUGAAAGGACGGGUUGCUUGUGAAAUCAGCAGUGCUGAUGAACUACUCCUGACGGAAAUGAUGUUCAAUGGGCUCUUCAAUGAUUUGUCUGCAGAGCAGGCAACUGCACUACUCAGCUGUUUCGUGUUUCAAGAGAAUUCCAGUGAAAUGCCAAAAUUGACUGAACAGUUGGCAGGACCACUUCGGCAAAUGCAGGAGUGUGCAAAAAGAAUCGCCAAGGUGUCAGCAGAGGCAAAACUGGAAACCGAUGAAGAAAAUUACUUGAAUUCUUUCAGACCCAACCUAAUGGAUGUUGUGUAUACAUGGGCAAAUGGAGCUAACUUUGCUCACAUCUGCAAAAUGACAGAUGUCUUUGAAGGUAGCAUAAUUCGUUGCAUGAGGCGUCUAGAAGAACUGCUUCGGCAGAUGUGCCAGGCUGCAAAAGCCAUUGGGAACACUGAGCUGGAAAAUAAGUUUGCAGAGGGGAUUACAAAAAUCAAGAGAGAUAUUGUGUUUGCUGCAAGCCUUUACCUGUAACAGCAGAUGUCUUCCAGAAACUAUACUGACAUGAUGGAACAAAUUCAUCAGUGUCACAUGUGGCUUCCAUAUCAAGUGGAACAGAACAGGAGAGGUGGUGCUUUAGCUGGACCCAGCAGCUUUAAGGCCAGCUCUACCCAUAUAGUCCUUUCCUGCAGUCUUUUAAACAUACCACCUCACUUCUUCACAGCUAGGAGACAUCUCCCUCACUGCAAGACAGGUGGUUGAUCCAAUUCUGCAGCUUGAUGUCUUCCACUGCUCAUUUCACCAAGUCCCAUAGCGGAUGUGCUGGGCACAGUGCUGCAUGGAGUGCAAUAAAUGAAAGACUCACGAUCCCUUCCCUUCCUGUAUCGUGUCUUCCCCUCCCACUGCAAGCCUGAGCACUGCAGAACACGUGAAUGUCCAUGGCACAAGAAACAAUCUCCCACCACAGUGGCAGCUAGCUGCUGAUCCAGCACACUACUAUGGCCACAGUCCAGGGGAGUUUCAGCUUCCACUUAAUGCCAGAUUCACUCAGUUCAAUUUAGUGAUCUAUUUGCAGUUGCUGUGCUGCUAUGCUCUAACCUCAGCUUGCUGCUUCUGGAGAGGAACUCCUCAGUUCUUUCACAUAAGAGCAUGAGGGUGGUGGUUGGUGCUGGUGUAUAUUUUUAAAAAUAAUUUCCUGACCUUUCAACUCUACUCACUGUAAUGCUACUUUCUACUCUUUCUUGUAUUACCAAGCACCUUCUGAAUCAUCCCAUAUCCUUGACUAAACUUGUUUUCCUAAUAAAAGUGUCCUCACCUCUUCAAUCUCUGA